This is a non-coding RNA of Paramuricea clavata, 361 nucleotides long. The record is from the annotation of a GenBank genome assembly. NCBI's taxonomy places the organism in Eukaryota, Metazoa, Cnidaria, Anthozoa, Malacalcyonacea, Plexauridae.
UCUCACAAGUCUUUUUAUGUUCCGAUAUCAUCCGGCAUUUAAAUAACUUGCCAACUGAUUUCUUCACAAAUGUUUUUAUUACAAAUAGCCAAAUUCACCAGCACAAUACUCGAAACUCGACUAAACUACACAAUUCACAAACCAUAUAAAAGAACUAACUAUAACGUCAGCCACUCGCUUUCAGUGAAAGGGAUGGACGUUUGGAAUAGCCUUGAUAGUAAAUUAAUAGAUUUAACAUCACGUCGAUAUCGUAUAUAGUAUAUAUCGUAUUUAAUUUACAAAAUUGAUUUAAUAUAAUGUGCAAUAGAUAAUUAAAGGUAUAGCUAUAAUUGAAUAGAUAAGAAGAAAAGUUAGAUUAACA